UACGUAGGGGGCUAGCGUUGUCCGGAUUUAUUGGGCGUAAAGAGCGUGUAGGCGGCCAGGUAGGUCUGCUGUGAAAACUCGAGGCUCAACCUCGAGACGUCGGCGGAAACCAUCUGGCUAGAGUCCGGAAGAGGAGAGUGGAAUUCCUGGUGUAGCGGUGAGAUGCGCAGAUAUCAGGAAGAACACCCGUGGCGAAGGCGGCUCUCUGGGACGGUACUGACGCUGAGACGCGAAAGCGUGGGGAGCGAACAGG
RNAcentral lists this ribosomal RNA (253 nucleotides) under uncultured bacterium. RNAcentral describes it as "partial 16S ribosomal RNA". It matches the Rfam family "Bacterial small subunit ribosomal RNA", at positions 524 to 776 of the family's 1533-position model. The record is from RNAcentral.